AUGUAAGCUCUUUGGGGCCUGCUAGCUACCCUAUGGCUAAACAGUCUUUUAGGUU
Molecule: transfer RNA, 55 nt
Filed under: Imerinia grandidieri
Lineage: Eukaryota; Metazoa; Mollusca; Gastropoda; Systellommatophora; Veronicellidae
Description: tRNA-Ser
Source: RNAcentral